This 528-nucleotide ribosomal RNA is filed under the name uncultured bacterium. RNAcentral's name for it is "bacterial SSU rRNA". It matches the Rfam family "Bacterial small subunit ribosomal RNA", at positions 777 to 1301 of the family's 1533-position model. The record is from RNAcentral.
AAUAGAUACCCAGGUAGUCCACGCCGUAAACGAUGAGUGCUAAGUGUUAGAGGGUUUCCGCCCUUUAGUGCUGCAGCUAACGCAUUAAGCACUCCGCCUGGGGAGUACGGUCGCAAGACUGAAACUCAAAGGAAUUGACGGGGGCCCGCACAAGCGGUGGAGCAUGUGGUUUAAUUCGAAGCAACGCGAAGAACCUUACCAGGUCUUGACAUCCUCUGACAACUCUAGAGAUAGAGCGUUCCCCUUCGGGGGACAGAGUGACAGGUGGUGCAUGGUUGUCGUCAGCUCGUGUCGUGAGAUGUUGGGUUAAGUCCCGCAACGAGCGCAACCCUUGAUCUUAGUUGCCAGCAUUUAGUUGGGUCACUCUAAGGUGACUGCCGGUGACAAACCGGAGGAAGGUGGGGAUGACGUCAAAUCAUCAUGCCCCUUAUGACCUGGGCUACACACGUGCUACAAUGGAUGGUACAAAGGGCUGCAAGACCGCGAGGUCAAGCCAAUCCCAUAAAACCAUUCUCGAGUUCGGAUUGU